UAUUUAGAAUGGCGCUGAUCUGAUGAAUAAAAAAAAAAUGAUCAGGGCCUUUCUAAGUAGA
This 61-nucleotide microRNA precursor is filed under the name Mus musculus (house mouse). RNAcentral describes it as "Mmu-Mir-506-P11c2_pre stem-loop". Lineage: Eukaryota; Metazoa; Chordata; Mammalia; Rodentia; Muridae. The record is from RNAcentral.